GGAGGCAGCAGUGGGGAAUCUUGGACAAUGGGCGAAAGCCUGAUCCAGCGACGCCGCGUGAAGGAAGAAGUCCCUCGGGAUGUAAACUUCUGAACUAAUCGAAUAAAAGGGUAGUGGACACACUACAGAAGAAGGUAGGUUAGGAAAAGUCCCGGCUAACUACGUGCCAGCAGCCGCGGUAAGACGUAGGGGGCGAGCGUUGCCCGGAAUUACUGGGUGUAAAGGGGACGUAGGCGGGUGAUCAAGUCAUCUGUGAAAAGAUUGCUCAACGAUCGGCUUGCGGAUGAAACUGAUCAUCUUGGGCGUAGCAGAGGUAGACGGAAUUACCUGAGUAGGGGUGAAAUCCGCAGAUACAGGUAAGAACGCCGGUGAAGAAGUUGGUCUACUGGGCUACAGCUGACGCUGAGGUCCGAAAGCCAGGGGAGCAAACCGGAUUAGAUACCCGGGUAGUCCUGGCCCUAAACGAUGUUACAAG
Molecule: ribosomal RNA, 475 nt
Filed under: Thermotogales bacterium enrichment culture clone DF.35
Lineage: Bacteria; Thermotogati; Thermotogota; Thermotogae; Thermotogales
Description: bacterial SSU rRNA
Rfam family: Bacterial small subunit ribosomal RNA
Source: RNAcentral